UUUCUUUAACCAGUUCCUGGAUGCAUUGUUGGUUUGCUUGUCCUUAGGUGUGAUCUCAAACCCUGCUUGAAUUAAUCAGUUUUCAAAUACAGCGUAUUGAUGAGUGAGCAAAAAAAGUUAGUGCAGCUCAAUGCUGGCAGCACCUGGAGAGCAAGCGCCAAUGAGUAUGCUGAAGGACAGAGACUGUGAUGAGCACUAUCAGUGUGCAACGUGAACUGAUGGCAGGUAUUCAUAUCUGGUCCUCGUAGUCUGACAUAAAUAUGGAAGCCAUAAGAUGCAGUGUGACUUCUGGCCGUGGAUUCUUCUGUUCUUGAUGAAUAUUUCAGUGUUGAUAGAAACAUUUGUUUUCAUAGCAUGUCCAAGAGCUGUUCUGCAGUGGAGAAGGUAAGUUCAUAGGUGUGGGCAGGGGACGGACAACCAAGGCCUUCAUCUGUUCUCAAGAGUUGUAUGGACAGAUGUUGGGCUGAUCAAACAGCUACUGAAACCAUGAAGAAUCGGGGCAUAUUUUUAUUAGUGGGGAUGAAAAGAGAGAUUUAAGAUUUUUAGCCUUUCCAUGAUGCUCUCAGAUGCAUGGUUGAAUUUUAAGGUGUUUCUGAAUGGAUCCAGAUUGUGAUGUGCUGUAAUUAUAUUUGUUGUCUUUUGAAACAGACUCGGUUGCAGUUCAUUGUCAUUCUCUGUUCAUUUUCCUGAUUGAGAAUUACUCUCUGCAGUGCUUGUUGCUGGAAAAUAUUUAGUUGCCAGUGUUUAUUUCUGUCUUACAAGUUCAGCUGAGUCCUCUUUGCUUUAUGGUGAGGGACUGCUGCUGGCUAUUAGCUGUGCUUUGAAGACAAAUAUCCCUAUUUUCAUUCAAGUUCAGAUUGUGUUUGCUCCGAAACCCAAUGGAAGUGUUAGCUGUAUCUCAGUUCCCUGAUUUGGGUUGAUAGGACUUGCCUGUGAAUCUUGUUCUGACAGAUGAUUACCUCCCUGGACUCCUUCCUUAGGUAACUUAGCAAAGAGUCCCAGGUAUGCUUUGCAAGGUAGAACCACGUGUAGACAACAGGGUUUUGUUGUUCUUCAGGGGGAAAAAAUACGUAGCAUGGAAACAUGAAAUCUGAAUCACCCUGAAUUUAAAAAUAAAAAUCUAGGAGAUACAGCGACUUAAUGCUGUAAGUUGGAAGAAUGGUGGUGAAGUUCUUGAAUAUGAGAUUUGUUUUAAACUGACAAUAAAACUGUGUGCAAUUUGUGCUUUUGCAGUAAAUGUAAAGCGUGCCAUGGAUUAGCUAAUCUUCCAGAAGAACCCCAGCAUCUGCAUGCCAUGGCAAGUGAUCUGAGGAGCUCCAGGUGGGUGUGCUACAUGUAUAUCGAGUCGUCUCUCUAG
This 1357-nucleotide long non-coding RNA is filed under the name Gallus gallus (chicken). RNAcentral's name for it is "long non-coding RNA NONGGAT005116". The record is from RNAcentral. Lineage: Eukaryota; Metazoa; Chordata; Aves; Galliformes; Phasianidae.